GCUGCAACUCGCCUACACGAAGUUGGAAUUGCUAGUAAUCGUGGAUCAGCAUGCCACGGUGAAUACGUUCCCGGGUCUUGUACACACCGCCCGUCACACCAUGGGAGCUGGUAACACCCGAAGUCAGUAGUCUAACCGCAAGGAGGACGCUGCCGAAGGUGGGAUUAGCGACUGGGGUGAAGUCGUAACAAGGUAUC
Molecule: ribosomal RNA, 197 nt
Filed under: uncultured bacterium
Lineage: Bacteria
Description: partial 16S ribosomal RNA
Rfam family: Bacterial small subunit ribosomal RNA
Source: RNAcentral